Cyprinus carpio (common carp) is the source of this 1192-nucleotide long non-coding RNA. RefSeq lists it as uncharacterized. The record is from RefSeq and is a predicted model, not a curated record. The transcript has 3 exons. NCBI's taxonomy places the organism in Eukaryota, Metazoa, Chordata, Actinopteri, Cypriniformes, Cyprinidae.
AUAUAUAUAUAUAUUAUACAAGCUGCUUAUAUAAUGUUGAAGGCGGGAGAUUCAGAGACAGACUGAAGGUGGACUAUGAGACUGGAUCUCUGACCAUCACAGAAACCAGACCUGAACACGCUGGACGUUAUGAAGCAGAGAUCAUCAGAAGAGAGAGUUCAGGAAAAAGGCAAAGCUUAAACAGAAACCGCAAGUGCGACAGCACAAAAAUCACCAAAAAAAUCAGCAUCACUCAUGAUGACACCAUAAAAACUUUCAGUAUGAUCGUGACUGCUUCUCUGUCGGAUCAAGUCAGGACUGAUAAAGAGCCCCAUGUGGAGAAGAGGAAGUUUGACUUGAGUAUCUUUGCUGUACAAACAAAUUUAAAGUAUGAUGGCAUUUUACAUGUGACAAUUACAUCAUGAGGUCACAGAGAGUCAAAAGGCGUCUCUUGACAUUUCUGGAGGCCAACCUCAUAGUCUUCCUAAACCUUACAUGAACUAUUCCAAUAUGGAAUAAUCCCUAUUUUUUAACAAAGGAAUACGCCCUUUGGACAUUCAAAAGUGUCCAUAGAGAGAAUAUAUUCAGUGAAUGUAUAAACACACUGUGAAAUUCUUUCACACUCAUGACUGUCUCUCUAUAUCACUCCAGAUUCAGGUCUGUCUUCAGCUGCUGUAGCAGGAAUAUGUGCUGCUGCUGUUCUGCUGCUGGUGACUGUUGUAGCUGCUGCUGGAGUGAUUUACUAUUGCCACAAGAGCUCCAGAAAUGUAGAAAGGCAGAAAAACCAGUAUAAAGGAUUGCCCACAGAUGAGGUAAGAUACUGUACAUCACACUAAGAUCUGUGUUUGAUUUUACCUGCACAGACAAAUCAUCCUAAUGCCAAAUAAAGCUUUUCAACUGAAUCUAAUUCACUGAUAGAUGACAGAUGUGUGGACUGGGUCUGAUUGUGACUGCAAACAGCACUGUUUGUCUCUCUAACUUUACCCUCUGUGAUUCAUUGUUUUCUAACAGACGAUCCCAAAAGUGUGAUUAUAAAAUGAGAAAGAAUUGCUGCAGAAACAAUCUUCACUGUAAAGCAUAAAACUUUUCUGGGUUUUGUUUAACUUGAUGAAACACUAAUUGCAACACUGGAACACACAAAUUGUAAGGCAAUUAAUGCUACCUCUUAGCUUCAAGAGAGUAAUUAUAUCCUCCUGGGACCCACGCAUAGACU